AGCGGGAUGGAGCCAAGCUGGACGGAGGCGGGGCUAAGGCGAGGAUCCUUCGGGAGCUCUGAGGCGGGGCCCUACCCGGGGUGUGGCGGGACUGGAAACGAGCACUCUCUCCCCGGAUACUACCAGAAGCGGAGCCCGAGAGACAGGAAACGAGAGGGGCAGAAGACUGAGACUUGGGACGAAACCAAGAGUUGGAUGCUUAACCGACUGAGCCACCCAGAUAUUUCCCUCCUCACUCAUCUAGAUGCUGCUAGAUGGUUCUUCUGGAAGUCAAAGUCUAACAAAAACAGAACAUCUGAUAUAUUUAUGCCUUGCCUUAUGGGACAGAUUCAUCAGUAGAACUGUCAAGGAAGCAAUGAGGGAAAUAGCUAUAUUGAACUUAAUUUUAACCAGCAAAUAUCUAGUUGAUGAUUUACAAGUGACAAAAAUCCUGGGAAAAAGGAGUGAUGUCUGCUGGAGUUAGUAGCUGGCCGGGCACAGUGCUGGACUCUGGAUGAAGAGUGAUGCAUGCAGGCACAGCCCUUCCUUCACAGUGCUCGUCUGUCAUUACUAGGAACAAACACAAAACUGUACAAAUCUGAAUGAAGCAGUGGUGUCGACUCAUGUCCAGGUGACUUUUUUAUUUUUAUUUUUUAUUUUUUUAAUUUUUUACUUUAGAAAGGAAGAGAGAGUGUGUGAGCAGGGGAGAGGAGCAGAGGGAG
This is a long non-coding RNA of Felis catus (domestic cat), 701 nucleotides long. RefSeq lists it as uncharacterized. The transcript is spliced from 3 exons. NCBI's taxonomy places the organism in Eukaryota, Metazoa, Chordata, Mammalia, Carnivora, Felidae. The record is from RefSeq and is a predicted model, not a curated record.